CGUAGGCGGUGCGGUAAGUCUGGUGUGAAAUCCCCGAGCUUAACUCGGGUCCCGCGCCAGAGACUGCCGUGCUUGAGUGUGGGAGAGGAGAGUGGAAUUCCCGGUGUAGCGGUGAAAUGCGUAGAUAUCGGGGGGAACACCCGUGGCGAAGGCGGCUCUCUGGACCACUACUGACGCUGAGGCGCGAAAGCCGGGGGAGCAAACAGGAUUAGAUACCCUGGUAGUCCCGGCCCUAAACGAUGAACACUUGGGGUGGCGGGUCUCAACCCCCGCUGUCCCGGAGCUAACGCGUUAAGUGUUCCGCCUGGGGAGUACGGUCGCAAGGCUGAA
This 330-nucleotide ribosomal RNA is filed under the name uncultured bacterium. RNAcentral describes it as "bacterial SSU rRNA". It matches the Rfam family "Bacterial small subunit ribosomal RNA", at positions 570 to 898 of the family's 1533-position model. The record is from RNAcentral.